CGGACGGGUGAGUAACGCGUGGGUAACCUGCCUCACACUGGGGGACAACAGUUAGAAAUGACUGCUAAUACCGCAUAAGCGCACAGGACCGCAUGGUCUAGUGUGAAAAACUCCGGUGGUGUGAGAUGGACCCGCGUUUGAUUAGCUAGUUGGUGGGGUAACGGCCUACCAAGGCGACGAUCAAUAGCCGACCUGAGAGGGUGACCGGCCACAUUGGGACUGAGACACGGCUCAA
This 235-nucleotide ribosomal RNA is filed under the name uncultured bacterium. Its description in RNAcentral is "partial 16S ribosomal RNA". It matches the Rfam family "Bacterial small subunit ribosomal RNA", at positions 99 to 334 of the family's 1533-position model. The record is from RNAcentral.